This 60-nucleotide microRNA precursor is filed under the name Canis lupus familiaris (dog). Lineage: Eukaryota; Metazoa; Chordata; Mammalia; Carnivora; Canidae. The record is from RNAcentral.
UGCUGAGGAAGGUGCUCAUUGCAUUCAUUCAUAAGAGUAAUUAGGACCUCCCUGAGCGGA